Molecule: ribosomal RNA, 406 nt
Filed under: uncultured bacterium
Lineage: Bacteria
Description: partial 16S ribosomal RNA
Rfam family: Bacterial small subunit ribosomal RNA
Source: RNAcentral
GAUUAACGCUGGCGGCGUGCAUAACACAUGCAAGUCGAACGAAGUGGCGGACGGGUGAGUAACGCGUGAGUAACCUGCCUUAGAGAAGGGGAUAGCCUUUGGAAACGAAGAAUAAUACCCUAUACUCUAAGAUGGACUUGCGUCUGAUUAGUUAGUUGGUGAGGUAACGGCCCACCAAGACAGCGAUCAGUAGCCGGCUUGAGAGAGUGUACGGCCACAUUGGGACUGAGACACGGCCCAGACUCUACGGGAGGCAGCAGUGGGGAAUUUUGCACAAUGGGGGAAACCCUGAUGCAGCGACGCCGCGUGAUUUAGAAGGCCUUCGGGUUGUAAAAAUCUUUUCUAUGGGAAGCAGUACCAUAGGAAUAAGGACCGGCUAAUUACGUGCCAGCAGCCGCGGUAAUAC